RNAcentral lists this ribosomal RNA (253 nucleotides) under uncultured bacterium. RNAcentral's name for it is "partial 16S ribosomal RNA". It matches the Rfam family "Bacterial small subunit ribosomal RNA", at positions 524 to 776 of the family's 1533-position model. The record is from RNAcentral.
UACGAAGGGUGCAAGCGUUAAUCGGAAUUACUGGGCGUAAAGGGUGCGUAGGCGGUUGUUUAAGUCUGUCGUGAAAGCCCCGGGCUCAACCUGGGAACCGCGCUUGAGACUGGAGAACUAGAGUUCGGGAGAGGAUGGUGGAAUUCCCAGUGUAGAGGUGAAAUUCGUAGAUAUUGGGAAGAACACCGAUGGCGAAGGCAGCCAUCUGGACCGACACUGACGCUGAGGCGCGAAAGCGUGGGGAGCAAACAGG